This 511-nucleotide ribosomal RNA is filed under the name Meganyctiphanes norvegica. Its description in RNAcentral is "partial 16S ribosomal RNA". It matches the Rfam family "Bacterial large subunit ribosomal RNA", at positions 1819 to 2597 of the family's 2925-position model. Lineage: Eukaryota; Metazoa; Arthropoda; Malacostraca; Euphausiacea; Euphausiidae. The record is from RNAcentral.
GUCUUUAUGUUUUAUUUAUAAAGUCUGGCCUGCCCACUGAAAUUUAAAGGGCCGCGGUAUUUUGACCGUGCAAAGGUAGCAUAAUCAUUAGUCUUUUAAUUGGAGGCUUGUAUGAAUGGUCGGACAAGAAACAGACUGUCUUCAAUUGAAUUUAUUGAAUUUAACUUUUAAGUAAAAAGGCUUAAAUAAAUUAAAAUGACGAUAAGACCCUAUAAAACUUGAUAAUUAAAACUAUAAAAAUAAUUUAGCUAUUUAAAAUUUAUUUAGUGGAUUUUAUUUUAUUGGGGCGAUAAAAAUAAAAUAAGUAACUGUUUUUAAUAUUUUAAUGAUAGUUGUCAUUUUAAAAGUGAUCCUGUAUUAUAGAUUAUAAGAUUAAGUUACUUUAGGGAUAACAGCGUAAUUUUCUUUAAGAGUUCUUAUCUACAAGAAAGAUUGCGACCUCGAUGUUGAAUUAAAAGUUCUUUAAGGUGUAGCAGCUUUAAUAGAAGGUCUGUUCGACCUUUAAAUUUUU